Molecule: ribosomal RNA, 253 nt
Filed under: uncultured bacterium
Lineage: Bacteria
Description: partial 16S ribosomal RNA
Rfam family: Bacterial small subunit ribosomal RNA
Source: RNAcentral
UACGUAGGGUGCGAGCGUUGUCCGGAAUUAUUGGGCGUAAAGAGCUCGUAGGCGGUCUGUCGCGUCUGCUGUGAAAUCCCGGGGCUCAACUCCGGGCUUGCAGUGGAUACGGGCAGACUAGAGUUCGGUAGGGGAGACUGGAAUUCCUGGUGUAGCGGUGAAAUGCGCAGAUAUCAGGAGGAACACCGGUGGCGAAGGCGGGUCUCUGGGCCGAUACUGACGCUGAGGAGCGAAAGCGUGGGGAGCGAACAGG